This 404-nucleotide ribosomal RNA is filed under the name uncultured bacterium. RNAcentral describes it as "partial 16S ribosomal RNA". It matches the Rfam family "Bacterial small subunit ribosomal RNA", at positions 30 to 525 of the family's 1533-position model. The record is from RNAcentral.
AUUGAACGCUGGCGGCAGGCUUAACACAUGCAAGUCGAACGAGUGGCGGACGGGGGAGUAAUGCUUGGGAAUCUAGCUUAUGGCGGGGGAUAACUACGGGAAACUGUAGCUAAUACCGCGUACCAUAGGAUGAGCCCAAGUGGGAUUAGGUAGUUGGUGAGGUAAAGGCUCACCAAGCCGACGCUCUAUAGCUGGUCUGAGAGGAUGACCCGCCACACUGGGACUGAGACACGGCCCAGACUCCUACUGUAGGCAGCAUUGGGGAAUAUUGCGCAAUGUGGCAAACCUGACGCAGCCAUGCCGCGUGAAUGAAGAAGGCCUUCGGGUUGUAAAGUUCUUUCGGUAGCGAGGCUUUAACUACAGAAGAAGCACCGGCUAACUCCGUGCCAGCAGCCGCGGUAAUU